GCACUCAGAGGAUGCGCUGGUUCCUGUCUUUAAGGCAGGCGAAGAGGGAAUGCGACAGGGUUUGCGAUCUUCAAGAUUGCACAGUCCAAGCGCAGCCGCCCCCGCGACCGUGACCGGAGAGGUCAUCCAAGCCACUGGCCCGAACGGGUCGGGAAGGUGGAUGACCGUGGGGUUUUUCCCCAGAUCCGCAAGCCGGGAGACCUGCCAGCGCUGAUGAUUACGG
This 223-nucleotide non-coding RNA is filed under the name Thioclava indica. The record is from RNAcentral. Lineage: Bacteria; Pseudomonadati; Pseudomonadota; Alphaproteobacteria; Rhodobacterales; Paracoccaceae.